This 460-nucleotide ribosomal RNA is filed under the name uncultured bacterium. RNAcentral describes it as "partial 16S ribosomal RNA". It matches the Rfam family "Bacterial small subunit ribosomal RNA", at positions 338 to 795 of the family's 1533-position model. The record is from RNAcentral.
CCUACGGGAGGCUGCAGUGAGGAAUAUUGGUCAAUGGGCGGGAGCCUGAACCAGCCAAGUCGCGUGAGGGAAGACGGUCCUAUGGAUUGUAAACCUCAUUAGGCGGGGAGCAAUGCCGGGCACGCGUGCCCGGAGGGAGAGUACCCGCCGAAUAAGCAUCGGCUAACUCCGUGCCGGCAGCCGCGGUAAUACGGGGGAUGCGAGCGUUAUCCGGUUUUAUUGGGUUUAAGGGGGGCGUAGGCGGAGUUUUAAGUCAGCGGUAAAAUGUCCGGGCUCAACCCGGGCCGGCCGUUGAAACUGGGGAUCUAGAGUGGGCGAGAAGUAUGCGGAAUGCGUGGUGUAGCGGUGAAAUGCAUAGAUAUCACGCAGAACUCCGAUUGCGAAGGCAGCAUACCGGCGCCCGACUGACGCUGAGGCACGAAAGCGUGGGGAUCGAACAGGAUUAGAUACCCCUGUAGUC